This 424-nucleotide ribosomal RNA is filed under the name uncultured bacterium. RNAcentral's name for it is "bacterial SSU rRNA". It matches the Rfam family "Bacterial small subunit ribosomal RNA", at positions 355 to 776 of the family's 1533-position model. The record is from RNAcentral.
UAAGGAAUAUUGGUCAAUGGACGCAAGUCUGAACCAGCCAUGCCGCGUGAAGGAUGAAGGUCCUCUGGAUUGUAAACUUCUUUUAUAGGGGAAGAAAUCUGAAUAUUCUUAUUCAGUUGACGGUACCCUAGGAAUAAGCACCGGCUAACUCCGUGCCAGCAGCCGCGGUAAUACGGAGGGUGCAAGCGUUAUCCGGAUUCACUGGGUUUAAAGGGUGCGUAGGAGGGCAGGGAAGUCAGUGGUGAAAUCUCCGGGCUUAACUCGGAAACUGCCGUUGAUACUCUCUGUCUUGAAUCCCGUGGAGGUGAGCGGAAUAUGUCAUGUAGCGGUGAAAUGCUUAGAUAUGACAUAGAACACCAAUUGCGAAGGCAGCUCGCUACACGAAGAUUGACUCUGAGGCACGAAAGCGUGGGGAUCAAACAGG